This is a non-coding RNA of Salmo salar (Atlantic salmon), 200 nucleotides long. The record is from RefSeq and is a predicted model, not a curated record. Lineage: Eukaryota; Metazoa; Chordata; Actinopteri; Salmoniformes; Salmonidae.
CUAAGAACACCUACACUAAAGCUCCCUGUUAAUAUGGGUGGUCAACGUCAAAGCCAAAGAAUACAAGUCAAAUAGGAUCUCAAACAAUAGUCAGUCCAGCUUUUGAGAAGGUAUCAAACAGGGUUGAAGUGUCCAAACAGCUGGCCUCCAUUUAAGGAGGUUGUAGCUGCCUGCCAUCCAGGACCUCUACACCAGGCGGU